CCUACGGGAGACAGCAGUGGGGAAUAUUGCACAAUGUAGGGAACCCUGAUGCAGCGACGCCGCGUGCGUGAAGAAGUAUUUCUGUGUGUAAAGCUCUGUCAGCAGGGGAGAAAACCGACGGUACCUGACCCAGCAGCCCCGGCUAACUACGUGCCAGCAGCCGAGGUCAUACGUAGGGGGCAAGCGUUAUCCGGGUUUACUGGGUGUACAGGGAUCGUAGACGGCAGGGGAAGUCUGGAGUGAAAGGCAGGGGCCCAACCCCUGGACUGCCUUGGAAACUGUCCGGCUGGAGUGCAGGAGAGGUAAGUGGAAUGUCUAGUGUAGCGGUGAAAUGCGUAGAUAUUAGGAGGAACACCAGUGGCGAAGGCGGCUUACUGGACUGUAACUGACGUUGAGGCUCGAAAGCGUGGGGAGCAAACAGGAUUAGAUACCCGUGUAGUC
Molecule: ribosomal RNA, 441 nt
Filed under: uncultured bacterium
Lineage: Bacteria
Description: partial 16S ribosomal RNA
Rfam family: Bacterial small subunit ribosomal RNA
Source: RNAcentral